UAAGAAGUAGUAUAAGGGGAGUACAAAGAGUUUUGAUCUCUUAAGUAUAGGUUCAACUCCUAUCUUUUUAA
This 71-nucleotide transfer RNA is filed under the name Tomopterna cryptotis. RNAcentral's name for it is "tRNA-Gln". It matches the Rfam family "tRNA". Rfam says of the family: Transfer RNA (tRNA) molecules are approximately 80 nucleotides in length. Their secondary structure includes four short double-helical elements and three loops (D, anti-codon, and T loops). Further hydrogen bonds mediate the characteristic L-shaped molecular structure. tRNAs have two regions of fundamental functional importance: the anti-codon, which is responsible for specific mRNA codon recognition, and the 3' end, to which the tRNAs corresponding amino acid is attached (by aminoacyl-tRNA synthetases). tRNAs cope with the degeneracy of the genetic code in two manners: having more than one tRNA (with a specific anti-codon) for a particular amino acid; and 'wobble' base-pairing, i.e. permitting non-standard base-pairing at the 3rd anti-codon position. The record is from RNAcentral. Lineage: Eukaryota; Metazoa; Chordata; Amphibia; Anura; Pyxicephalidae.